RNAcentral lists this microRNA precursor (78 nucleotides) under Schistosoma mansoni. Its description in RNAcentral is "mir-3492 microRNA precursor family". It matches the Rfam family "mir-3492 microRNA precursor family". The record is from Rfam by way of RNAcentral. Lineage: Eukaryota; Metazoa; Platyhelminthes; Trematoda; Strigeidida; Schistosomatidae.
CACGUUUUUGAUCCGUGCAGAGAUUUCGUCAGACAAUAACCUAUUACGUCUGAUCAGACUUCCAAGAUAAGUGAAGUU